UACGUAGGGGGCAAGCGUUGUCCGGAAUCAUUGGGCGUAAAGCGCGUGUAGGCGGCCAGAUAAGUCCGUUCUGAAAGCCCGGGGCUCAACCCCGGGAGGCGGAUGGAUACUGUUUGGCUCGAGUCCGGAAGAGGAGAAUGGAAUUCCCGGUGUAGCGGUGAAAUGCGCAGAUAUCGGGAAGAACACCCGUGGCGAAGGCGGUUCUCUGGGACGGUACUGACGCUGAGACGCGAAAGCGUGGGGAGCGAACAGG
RNAcentral lists this ribosomal RNA (253 nucleotides) under uncultured bacterium. RNAcentral's name for it is "partial 16S ribosomal RNA". It matches the Rfam family "Bacterial small subunit ribosomal RNA", at positions 524 to 776 of the family's 1533-position model. The record is from RNAcentral.